This is a long non-coding RNA of Suricata suricatta (meerkat), 6024 nucleotides long. RefSeq lists it as uncharacterized. The transcript has 5 exons. Lineage: Eukaryota; Metazoa; Chordata; Mammalia; Carnivora; Herpestidae. The record is from RefSeq and is a predicted model, not a curated record.
GUGUGUGCCUGGGACAGGACUGGGGAGGGACCGGAGAAGGAAGGAGAAGGAGGGGUCAGAGAAGAGAGAAGGAACCUUACAGUACACAGUGAGGGUGCUGGGGGGCGAUCGGCCUGUGCCCAGCUGGUUGAUCGCCUGGCACCAAUAGGCUCCGGUUUGCUGGACCUUCACGGGAUCCAAUCUCAGCAUCUGAUCGUAAUGCUGGAGGUUUUGGUUAUUCUGGUCAAACCAGGUAUACCGGUAGAUGGGAGGGUUGGCGUCGCCCUCACAUGUCAGGACUACCUUCUUCCCUUCUAUCACUUUGUCCUUAGGGCUGAUGGACACACGCAGCCUCCUCGGCGCAUCUAUAAGGAGAAGCGAAAUCAGGAUCCAGGUAGGCGGCCCCCUCCCCUUCCUUCUGUCUGUCUCCAGCUCCAGCCACUCACACAGCACUUGGAGUAUCCUGCCCUCAGACGUGGUCUGUCCUAUGGAGUUGUUGACCAAGCAGUUGUAAUUGCCGGCGUCUUCUGGAGAAAUGGCGUCAAAGCUCAGUUCUUGUCCUUCCUUCAGAAAGAUUCCAUUUUUCUGCCAGAAGAAGCGGACGUCUCUGGGGCGGCUACUUGAGAAGUUACAUCUAAGGAGGACUCGGUGCCCGGAGUGAAUCUCGGAAGGGGUGCUGAUCUGCUGGACCCUGACAUCUCUUGGGGCAUCUGGAGAGCAAGGGCCGCAAGGGUCAGGCUGACCUCUUGGGUCCCUUUCCCUCUUGCCCCCAGGACUUCCUCUCCCCUGGGUCCUGAGGCCGGACUUCCAGCCCUCAGUUGUCUGUGAAGAUUCUGGCCCAGAUCCCAGUGCCCUCCCCCAGAGCCCGUACCGAAGUUGGGCCACUUCUCAUGCCCUCGCCUGGUCACUCACGCUGGACAUCCAGGUUGACAGAGGGAGCCCACGAACACCACUGGUUACAGGCUGCACAGGAGACUGGGCUGGCAUCCCAGCGAACUUUCUCAAUUAUCAGCACCUCGCGUAAUGGGUUUUUCCAGACGCCUUGGAAGUUCCAUUCAUACCGCGUAACUCUGGGAUUACUGGAAUUGUAGUUACAGGACAGGGUCACACUGUCUCCUUCUCGAAUUGGCGUGGGGUUUUGAAUCAUUGUGGUUACCUCCUUGGGGGGAUCUGGGAGAAAACCAGAGAGAUGGACGAGGGAAGGUCAGCUGUCCAUUACUACCUUUCCCGGCGCCUCCCUCUUUCCCACCUGUGCCCCGCGUUCAUCCAGUUCCCAAAUUAACCAAAGGAAGGCUUGUGCUUCCCUCUUGCAUCGGUGUGAGGACAGAAACCCUGGCCAUUUGGCCUGGUCCCGGUUUGAGGCAGGUUGGUGCGGCUGUUCAGAGCAGAGCCCCCGCAGAGAGCGCGUGGUGUGGGAGGCGGGGGUGCGUGGUUUCUGGGCCUCCGAGUGGCCUGCGGGCCUCGGACACAGAGCCGGUUCGCUGCAGCGCAGACACUCAUUGCGGGGAGAAAAAGGAAAAACCACAGCUCUGGAGCCAGAUCGGCAGAUCCUGUGACUUGGAGCUGAGUGAUGACGGGCCAUGGGACUCAGUUUAGUUAUCCGUCAGGGCACCUAACCUUGUAGGAUGGCUGCAGGACGAAAUGGGCUGGGGCAGCCCAAGCAGAGCAGGCACUCAAUAAACGUGGCCGCUGCCGCUGUGUCGCAAGCCGGCUGUCUAGAUAAUUCGCAAUUUGAGCGUCCCCAUCGGAGUAUCUGGCUCAGACUCUGACAUCCCAGAGUCCAAGGAUCAAACCUAUGGAUUCUCUCUGCCCUGGGCUCGCCUCACUGACAAGAUUCACUGCGUUAAACAGGGUCUGGCCUCUGAUGGAGAGGGCGUGAGCUAUUUUGCUUCCAAGCCCCCUCCUGGAGCACUGGGCACCACUAGAUGCCAAGUCUCUGUGUCCUUCAUGGGGCCCUGGCAUCUCGCUGUUCAUUCAUUCAACAAACAUCUACUGAGCACCUACCACAAGCCAGACCCUGUUCUGGUGCUGGGUGUACAACUGGGAACAACAGCAAGGCACCCACCCUAGGGGCUUGCAUGUUGAGAGACCCCAGCCUCCACGUGCUGUCCAUUCUAGGACCCAGGAAUCCCCUGUGCUCCAUCUCCCUUCCUCCUUUUCCCUCCAGAACCCAGAGGCCCUGUGACUACUCACACUGGACGUCUAACGUGGCUUCCUGGCCAACUUGUCCAGGACCAAGUCUGUUUUCUGCUGAGCAGGAGUAAUGCCCAGCAUGGCUGAGGAGGACUGCUGGGAUCUGGAAGGUCUUGCUUGUCCUUCCUGGCAUUGUUAUGUUAUUGUGAUGCCAGGUGUAAUUUGUUGGAGGAGGAUUGGCCAGUGACACACAAGUCAUCUCUACUUUAUCUCCCUCCUUAACUGGUGAAGAGAGGAUCUCCACCCUGGAAGGUUCCGGAGCAUCUGGAAAAAGCCGCAGAGGCAGAGGAAGGAGCUCCCAGGAGGCUCACGAUAUACUUGAAGGACCACUUCUUCCGACCAUCCUAAGCCUAUUUCAUUGGAGGCCUCACACCGGUACUUUCCACUCAUCUCCUUGGUCACACUGGGCAGAGUCAGCGUGAGUGUCUCCUGCUCCCUCAGUGGGAUCCUGUCCUUGAGCCAGGCUAUAUUCCGGUACCCGGGGUUGCUGCUGAGGACCUGGCACGUCAUGGUCACAGACUCUCCCUCUGUUACGUUGGCUCCUCUGGGACUGGCCUCAAUCUUCAACUUUGGGACAUCUAGAGGAGCAGAGGGGCAGGGCGGGAGGGGGAAGGGACCGCUCAGAGGAUGUAAUGUGGUGGGAAGUUGCAGGGCCUUGAUUCGGAUAAAGCAGCAGUUAAAUAUAGUGUGUGAGUUACCCUCGUCCACGGGGGGUGGGGGGCUGACUCCAUCGCCCAGGUAACUCUCACAGACUCCUAACUUGUCCCUGCUCUGUGCACCCCACCCCUUCACUGCCACCCUGCUCUCCAAAGUUCUAGUCUCCACCAGCCGCCAGCAACCUUCCUAAUACUGUCACUCGGACUUUGUCACUCCCCUGCUUGAAAACAUUCCGUGGAUUCCACACUCAGAAUACAAUCCCAAAUCCCGCUGCGGCCGUGAGAUCUGCCCUUGGCCCCUUGGCCCUUUUUUCCUCCCGCUGGGCCCCUUGCUCUGUUGCAGGCACACCGAGCUCCUACCUUGAGGCCUCUGUCUUGGCUCUUUCCUCUUCCUGGAAUCUUCUCACAAAGAAAUACCUGCGUGCCUCAGUGCUUCCCUUCACUCAGGUUCACCUUCCUCAGAGAAGCCUCCAUCCCUCCUUUCCUCCGCCCUUGCCCGGCUUUAUUCUCCCCUAAUACACUCAUCACUGUCCACGGUUCAGUUCUGUAUUUCUUUGUCCAUCUGUUCACUGUUUGUCUCCCCGACCUGCCACGUUAGCUCCAGGUGGGCAAGAAAUUUGCUCAACACAGCACCUUCCGCGGCCUUAACAAGACCUGGCACCUGGGAGGUGCCCAGGAAAUAUUUAUCAAAUGAAUGAAUGAGGCACAACGAUGUGAAAGCAUCUCUUCCCCUGCCCACUACCUCCCCUUCCCGUGUAACCACGUGAUUUCAAAUUCAUGUCAUGGCUUGAGGAUAUUGAAGUAUUUUAUUCCAUCAGACCAAAGCAGAUGCCAAGAUGAAUCCAUUCCCAGAAACACUGGCGCUCGGUAACGGGGUGAGGGGUGGAGGGUGCGCAGCCUUGGCUGGAACUUUCCCCGCUCUGGGUGCCCAUAGGCUGACGGUGUUUCCUUCUGUGUAGGUGCCUGACACCCUUGGUGCCCUCUGAGGGCCCUCGGAGAAGAGACAAGACCCUCGUCCUUCCCCCAGGGGGGCCCCAGGUGACACUCACGUUUUACAUCCAGCCCCACGGUUUCCUCAGAGAGUAUCUGCUUGUCUUCGUGGUCCCAGAGCUGGCAGGAAAGAUUCUUGCCAUGGAAGUAAGAAGCUGGAUUUCAUGUGAAAUAUUCCGCUUUCAUCAACAAACAAACAAACAAACAAACAAACAACAAACAUGGUGCUGGCCAGUCUAUGGGCCGGAGGCAGUCCAAGGCCCCCAGUUUGCAGCUGCUGCCCAUCUGUCUCUCUCUGAUCGUCAGCUGUAUGUGCAUCCUACAUCUCCCACCAUGGGGGCCAGAGGACAGUACAUUGCCCGGACUUCUUGAGCCAUGGAACCGAUUUUACAUUUCCCGUGAAAAACUUGGCAGGACUACAGGACUGAAUACUGAAAAAGCAAGCAACUGAAAAUGCCAAUGAGCACAGACCAAAAAAAUUCUGGCAAAAUUCUGCUCUUUGAGCUAAAGAAUGAAGAAAGGGGCAGCCCAGAAAGACAGAAAUCUUUCAUGCAGAAACUGCUCUACUCUGACGAACUAUCACAUAAAAAACCUGCUGCUUCACUUCCACCCCUGACAGCAAAGGCUGAGUGGGACCCUAGACUUCCAUCCUUGCCAGGCUGCUCCCCUAUACCACAUCUGAGUGGUACCAGAGGAGGCUGAGUGUGGGGCUGGGCCCUCCAGCCCCUCUGGGCUCUUCCUCCCCACAGUGUCAGUAGAAACCACAUGGGCAGUCUGAACACCCACCCCCACCCUGUGAUGAGAUAUUAGUCUCUUCACUGGAGUGGUGUAAGAGGAGGUCUAGGGGAAAGUCAGGACUUUCACCAUCACUCAGUAAUCAUAAGCCCAACUUCUGUGGAAUCUGCAUGAAAGCCAUGUGGAGAGCAGUGAUGGCAUACCCUUCCCUCUCCCAGUCAAGGUGUUAUUAAUGCAUGCAUAUGGGGAACCUCAUCUUCUACCCCUGCCCAGCAAUAAGAAAACUUCACACACACACACACACACACACACACACCAGGUGUCAAGAGAGGCUGUGUGGAGAACCUGAACUUCUACCCCCAUUUGGCAAUAAUGAGGCAGUGCCCCCAUUCAUUUCACUGGAGCAGUGUCAAGAGAGGCUUGUGAAAACAUCAAUUUAAAUAAGAUUCAGUCCCAUAAAUAAUACCCAAAAUGUCCUGGUUUCACUUGAAAAUCACUCAGCCUGCUAAGAACCAGGAAUUUCUCAAACUGAAUGCAAGAAGAUAAUCAACAGAUACACAUGCCAAGAUGACACAGAUGUUGGAAUUAUCUAACAAAAAUUUUAAAGCAGCCAUCAUAAAAAUGCUUCAGUGGGCAAUUUCAAACAUGCUUGAAACUUAUGAAAAAGAGAGUGUCAGCAAAGAAAUAGAAAAUAUAAAGAAGAAUCAAAAGGAACUUUUAGAACUAAAAAACACAAUAACUCAAAUAAAAACCCUAGUGAAUGGGCUCAACAACAGAAUGGAACAUGAAACAUUAGAAAUUACCCAAUUUGAACAGAACAGACUGAAAAAAAAUGAACAGAAACUCAAGGACAUGUAUGGCUAGUAUAACAAAAAAAUCUAACAUUCAUGUCAUUGGAGUCUCAGGAGAGGAGAAAGAGGGGUGAGCCUGAGAAAAUGUUUGAAGAAAUAAUGGCUGAAAUGUCCCUAAUUUGACAAAUCAAACAAAAACCAUAUUAUCUAAGGAUCCAAGAAGUUAAGGAAAUCCCAAACAAGGUAAACCCAAGGAAAUCUAUCCCAAGACACAUACUUAUAAAAGUAUGACUUAUCCCAAGUUAAACUUAUAAAAAUUAGACAAAGAAAAAAAUCUUGAAAGCAACCACAGAGAAAUGAUGAACUUCUCCCUACAGAGAGAAAACCCAUUCAAAUGACAGUCGAGUUUGUAUCAAAAACCAUUAAGGUGAUAAGGAAGUGAAACAGCAUCUCUUAGAUACUGAAAGAAGAGACCUAUCAACCCAGAAACCUAUAGCUAGUGAAAAUAUCCUUCAGGGAUGAAGGGGAAGUCAAAACAUUCUCAGGUGACGGAAAACUAACAGAAUGUUUAACCAACAGAGACUCUAAAGUAAUGGCUUGAGCAUUGAGAGGGGGAGGGGGGGGAGAGAGAGAGAGAGAGGGAGAGAGAGACAGACAGCGUGAACAGGGGAGGGGCAGAG